This 322-nucleotide ribosomal RNA is filed under the name uncultured Actinomycetes bacterium. Its description in RNAcentral is "bacterial SSU rRNA". It matches the Rfam family "Bacterial small subunit ribosomal RNA", at positions 28 to 351 of the family's 1533-position model. Lineage: Bacteria; Bacillati; Actinomycetota; Actinomycetes. The record is from RNAcentral.
GACGAACGCUGGCGGCGUGCUUAACACAUGCAAGUCGAGCGGUAAGGCUCCUUCGGGAGUACACGAGCGGCGAACGGGUGAGUAACACGUGAGUAAUCUGCCCUUCACUUCGGGAUAACCAUGGGAAACGAUGGCUAAUACCGAAUACGACCGAGUCUUGCAUGAGAUCUUGGUGGAAAGUUUUUUCGGUGAAGGAUGUGCUCGCGGCCUAUCAGCUUGUUGGUGAGGUAACGGCUCACCAAGGCUUCGACGGGUAGCCGGCCUGAGAGGGUGACCGGCCACACUGGGACUGAGACACGGCCCAGACUCCUACGGGAGGCAG